CGGCGUAGCUCAGUUGGUAGAGCAGUUGAUUUGUAAUCAUCAGGUCGCAGGUUCGACUCCUGUCGCCG
This 68-nucleotide transfer RNA is filed under the name marine eukaryotic metagenome. It matches the Rfam family "tRNA". Rfam says of the family: Transfer RNA (tRNA) molecules are approximately 80 nucleotides in length. Their secondary structure includes four short double-helical elements and three loops (D, anti-codon, and T loops). The record is from RNAcentral.